CUGGCAGGGGAGAAAAGGGGAGGGAACACAGAUAAUCCUUUAGGUGCGCUGAGCCUACGAGAUGCCCCAGGGAGAUGUCUGGGGACAGCAGGUGACACUACUCUCACCCCCAGCAGAAGCCUCGCCCCCUCAUCGGGAUCUUGAGCACCCCUGGGACCCUCCUGCACCUCAUCCAUUGCCAUCACAUCCCCUGAAGUUCUUGCAUAAACUCACCAAUCCCUGCUCCAUGAUUACUUGGUCACGCUCUACAAACGCCUUACGAAUGAGAAAACGCUUUCACAACAUUAACCCAUUCUUCCACAUGUUGUUCCCAAAUUACACGGGAGAAAAUGAAGCACCCCCUACUGAAGGCGGUGUGUCUCAGCCCUCCAACCAGUCCAACUCUGGCGGUGCAUGGAGCAGCCUGGCAGAGGCCGUAUGGACCUGCAGAUCGAACCCCUGCACCCUCCGGCCACAGGAAGUCUGAAGUCAUCGGACACCACUUCCCGGACCCUUCCUCCAACACGCCUGAAAUGCA
This 517-nucleotide long non-coding RNA is filed under the name Equus asinus (donkey). Its description in RNAcentral is "lncRNA (ENSEASG00005024769.1)". The record is from RNAcentral. Lineage: Eukaryota; Metazoa; Chordata; Mammalia; Perissodactyla; Equidae.